UUGUAUUACAUCAUGUAUUAACCACAAAUCAUGAAAUCAAUACCAGAGAACCAAAUAAUGUCACCACCUCUGUACUAACAACCAACAUUUUAGCAUAAGGAGUAUCACAGGAGUGUUUAAUUGCACAUCAAGAGUAUCACAAUUACAACUAAAGAGGCAUUGUCCUCACUGCUGUCCCUGAGCCCUUCACAGAGUUUCAAGCCUCGCAACUUCUUCCUCCAGCUCUGCACAUGACCCUCGGUUACGAACCUCAUCCCUCAACUAUGAUUAUUUCAAGAUGAAAUCAACAUGCUAUUUCUCUCACAUGGAACAUGUUUAGAAUUUAGUCAGUCUCGCUAAUCUUUCAGCUACAAAGGCAGAAAGAAAAAUGGCAUAAUCAAUAACUAAAAAAAAACUGGAACAAUAAUGCUUGUAACAAUAAUGGCUAUAUUUUUAUCAUCAAAUUUCAACAAUAGAUAUCUCUCCUCCUAUAUCCCUCAAAGAGCAAAAAUAACAAAAUGAACUUUGAUGUACACAAACACAUUCAAAUAAGCAAAUCAGAGCAAGGCAAUAUGCAUCAUACCUUCAGGAUGCCAAGCGGUCGAUUAGUAAUGCUAAAAUGAACCCAUCAGCAUACCUCCCACCUAAUUUUAUUGGCCCUAUCUCUUCUUUCUCAAGUCUGCACUCGUUCAACCAGUAAUCCAAUUAGUUAUACAUGCACACAAUAAUCAAUAGUUUCCCUUCUCCCUAUUUCUAAUUUGGAAAAAUCACUAUAUUUUUCCCCUAUUUGUAGUUUACACUGAAAUCUGAAACCAGUGUGUGCAAGUAUGUUUAAACACCCAGCCAAAAAUCUGAGAAAAGCAAAAUAAGAAUUUGAAUGCCCAAGGAAAAUUAAACUUGCUCUCUCUCCCUAUUCUCAGCCAUACAUGCACCAGACAACAUAUAUAUAUAUAUAUAUAUAUAUAUAUAUAGAGAGAGAGAGAGAGAGAGAGCGAGAGACGAUCAAAUAAUUUUAUAGGUCCUCCUUGACUUGGCCGCUUCAAGCUGUGCUAGAAUCCAUGGGAUGGCAGAACACCUUUUUUAGUACAAGCACACUGCAAGCCACCAUCCACCCUUGCUUAUUAAUGAAAUAAAAUAAAGUAUUCCAAGAACAUGGAUCAGUUAUAAAAAGUACCGAUAUCAUGUAUGCAUCGUUCUGAUGCAGAGGCCGGGGAUCUCCCCCUUUUCGAAAAAAAAGUAUAUAAUACAAAAAUAAAUAUUCUUUGGAAGGAUAUAGUCAUAGAUAUAUCAAAUAGACAUAGUAUACGUUCCAAUGAUAAUGUCAUACCUGUAGAAGAGACAUAUCCUCAAGAAACGGUGCUCCAAAUGAAUAUUGCCAUAUUUGUCCAUAGUAAAUAAUCCAUUACAGCAGAAAUCAGAAGCCAACAUCAGUGUGGUUCGCAAUAAGAGGAGGCCAUUCUGUUCAUGCCUAGCAGUAGCACAACAGCGACAUGAAGACAACCUACUUUACAUGGCAAAAGAUCCAAGUAAGAAGAAAAUCUAAUGUCAUAUAUGGAUACACUUGAGUUGUUAUAAAUACUUAGGAAUUCAGGAUGGCAAAUUUAAGCAAGAAAAACACACUGGAGCUGUUAUAUUUACUUAGGAAUUCAGAUUAUUGUGUUUCCUAUAGAGGCCCUAUAACCUGAAUAAACGUAGCUGCACAUAAGAUCAAGUAAAAAAAAGCGUUAGUAAAUUCAUGAAAGGAAGAUGUGAAGAUAAAAGUCAUGACAGAACUGUCCAGAUUUUGUAUCAGCCAGUCAUAUAUACAGGACCAAGAAGACUGCACCCAAAGUUUGAUAUUUCAAUCAGCUUAAUUAAUAAUUAUUUGGCACGCAUCUUUGACACAGCACUGCCUUUAACUGUGUUCUGCGCCACAGAAAACACAAACUAAAAUUGAUAAAGUUGAGACAAAUAAGGGUACAUAUAUUGCAUUAGUAAACAAAUAACAAUAGAAUGUACUUUUAUGUAGAAUUAAAAGUGUGGAGAGAAAAUAAAUAAACCCGAGGGAAAACUAUCUAUUAGUCCUCAUAAAUCAAAACACAACAUCUUCACGCUUUCUCAGUCAACAGUCUACUCAAAUGUAAUUAAUAUAUAGCAGAUCAAUGACAAAAACACGUGCCAAAACAUGCCGACCAAAAUAAAGAGGUAGAAAGCCUAUUUUAAAUCCAUGACUGGUUACAAAGUUGCAUCAACCUACUACAUUAAAUAUAUAAUGGCAGUUCUGGAUGUUGCUUAACAUGGAGCAUAGUUUGAUGGUGCAGUGCAACCUCAUAAACUCUGCAUACAACAACCUGUAAAGAAAUAUGAACCAAAAUAAAGUGUCAUUGCUUCAAAUGAUAUAACAUACCAGAACGCCAUUUCUUCAUAUCCCAUCUCUCGAACAGAGGCAUGCCGAAUCCUUCCAGUAAGAGGUUGCCAGUGCGUACAUCAAGCCAUUGGCGAAAAGAACCGGAGAGAUCAAC
Molecule: long non-coding RNA, 2480 nt
Filed under: Triticum aestivum (bread wheat)
Lineage: Eukaryota; Viridiplantae; Streptophyta; Magnoliopsida; Poales; Poaceae
Description: long non-coding RNA (TAES_LNC012440)
Source: RNAcentral